AUACCCUAUUAUUUUAAGUGUUAAUUUUACUUACCUGGGUACUAUUAGUUAAGAUCUUUAAACCCAAAGAAUUUGGCGGUAUCUCAUUCCAUUCAGAGGAACCUACCCCGUAAUUGAUAAUACACGAUUAACUUUACUUAAUUUAUUUGUUUGUAUAUCUCCGUUAUCAGAAAAUCUUAUUGGAGUUAUAAUUUUCUUGAUUUAUAAUUGUAAAGUAUUUCAGGUCAAGGUGCAGCUUAUAAUUAAGAGGAGGUGGGUUACAAUAAUUUUUGUUUAUUAUGGAUUUAAUGGUGAAAUACCAUUAAUAAAGGUGGAUUUGAUAGUAAUUUAAUUUAGUUAAUUUAAUUGAUAUUGGCUCUGAGGUGUGUACACAUCGCCCGUCGCUCUCA
This 389-nucleotide ribosomal RNA is filed under the name Dociostaurus maroccanus. Its description in RNAcentral is "12S ribosomal RNA". It matches the Rfam family "Microsporidia small subunit ribosomal RNA", at positions 752 to 1207 of the family's 1311-position model. The record is from RNAcentral. Lineage: Eukaryota; Metazoa; Arthropoda; Insecta; Orthoptera; Acrididae.